This 324-nucleotide ribosomal RNA is filed under the name uncultured Cercomonas. Its description in RNAcentral is "SSU rRNA". The stretch from base 109 to 324 matches the Rfam family "Eukaryotic small subunit ribosomal RNA", at positions 739 to 955 of the family's 1831-position model. Lineage: Eukaryota; Cercozoa; Cercomonadida; Cercomonadidae. The record is from RNAcentral.
GAUUUCUGGUAUUGCGCGUUUGGCCCACAGCUACGGCUGGCGCGUGCCGUUACUCGCUUACCAUCCUUCUGGGGAGGGUCUCGCAUCACUUUAAUGUGUUCGAGUUCUGUAACCAGAUCUUUUACUUUGAAAAAAUUAGAGUGUUUAAAGCAGGCUUGCGCUAUGAAUACAUUAGCAUGGAAUAAUAAUUUAGGACUUUUGCUCCUGUUUUGUUGGUUUAUUGGACGGAAGUAAUGAUUGAUAGGGAUAGUUGGGGGUGCUAGUAUUCAGCGGCCAGAGGUGAAAUUCUUGGAUUCGCUGAAGACUAACUUAUGCGAAAGCAUU